UACGAAGGGUGCAAGCGUUAGUCGGAAUUACUGGGCGUAAAGCGUGCGUAGGCGGUCUCUUAAGUCCGUUGUGAAAGCCCUGGGCUCAACCUGGGAACUGCAGUGGAUACUGAGAAGCUAGAGUGUGUCAGAGGAUGGUGGAAUUCCCGGUGUAGCGGUGAAAUGCGUAGAGAUCGGGAGGAACAUCAGUGGCGAAGGCGGCCAUCUGGGACAACACUGACGCUGAGGCGCGAAAGCUAGGGUAGCAAACGGG
This 253-nucleotide ribosomal RNA is filed under the name uncultured bacterium. RNAcentral's name for it is "partial 16S ribosomal RNA". It matches the Rfam family "Bacterial small subunit ribosomal RNA", at positions 524 to 776 of the family's 1533-position model. The record is from RNAcentral.